Molecule: ribosomal RNA, 497 nt
Filed under: uncultured bacterium
Lineage: Bacteria
Description: partial 16S ribosomal RNA
Rfam family: Bacterial small subunit ribosomal RNA
Source: RNAcentral
GAUGAACGCUGGCGGCGUGCCUAAUACAUGCAAGUCAAGCGAACGGACGAGAAGCUUGCUUUUCUGAUGUUAGCGGCGGACGUGUGAGUAACACGUGGAUAACCUACCUAUAUGACUGGGAUAACUUCGGGAAACCGGAGCUAAUACCGGAUAAUAUUUUGAACCGCAUGGUUCAAAAGUGAAAGACGGUCUUGCUGUCACUUAUAGAUGGAUCCGCGCUGCAUUAGCUAGUUGGUAAGGUAACGGCUUACCAAGGCAACGAUGCAUAGCCGACCUGAGAGGGUGAUCGGCCACACUGGAACUGAGACACGGUCCAGACUCCUACGGGAGGCAGCAGUAGGGAAUCUUCCGCAAUGGGCGAAAGCCUGACGGAGCAACGCCGCGUGAGUGAUGAAGGUCUUCGGAUCGUAAAACUCUGUUAUUAGGGAAGAACAUAUGUGUAAGUAACUGUGCACAUCUUGACGGUACCUAAUCAGAAAGCCACGGCUAACUACGUG